Photinus pyralis (common eastern firefly) is the source of this 543-nucleotide long non-coding RNA. RefSeq lists it as uncharacterized. Lineage: Eukaryota; Metazoa; Arthropoda; Insecta; Coleoptera; Lampyridae. The record is from RefSeq and is a predicted model, not a curated record. The transcript has 3 exons.
CUCAGUGGCACCGCGACGUCAGUGCGUCCCCACGACGAACGGUCACUGUGUCUCAUCGCGCUUUUACGUCUAUUCAUUUACGCACGCUAGAAACUUUGCUGUACUCUCAAAUAAGAUCCGCACGACGCACAAAUGGAAACCUUUUACACUGCAAGACUGCAUGGGUUUCCCAACCUGAGUAGAUCGGUAAUGGAACCAACAUUGAGUGAAGAAAGCGUACUUUCCCUCUUAAUUGUUUUGGGAAGUAGUAUUUCACUUGUGGGACUUGUAUUUGCUUUCAUCACGUACAGAAACUAAGCAUCGAAGUCAGGGUACAGCUGUAGAUGUUGAUCGUCCGAACAACGAUGACCUACUGUUCAUCAGUGUGGGGUUACGCCGCAACAUCACAAGAGUGCAGAUCGUCCAAAACAAGUCCUGAGGAUGGCUGUAAACGCCCCGUGGUUCGGGCGGAACGCGGACAUCCUUCCAGAUGUGGACAUGCUCACCAUCAAGGAAUUCAUCACCACGGCAGCGGUGAAGACCAUCGGUAGCCUGGGAGACCAC